This 490-nucleotide ribosomal RNA is filed under the name uncultured bacterium. RNAcentral describes it as "partial 16S ribosomal RNA". It matches the Rfam family "Bacterial small subunit ribosomal RNA", at positions 28 to 507 of the family's 1533-position model. The record is from RNAcentral.
GAUGAACGCUAGCUACAGGCUUAACACAUGCAAGUCGCAGGGUAACAUGAGGAAAGCUCGCUUUCCUUGAUGACGACUGGCGCAUGGUGGAUUAACGCGUAUCUAACCUUCCCAUAACUACGGGAUAACCCGUUGAAAGAAGGCCUUAUACCGUAUGAUAUCGUUUGCUGACUUCAAAUAACUAUUAAAGGUUUAGCGGUUAUGGAUGGGGAGGCGUCUGAUUAGCUUGAUGGCGGGGUAACGGCCCACCAAGGCGACGAUCAGUAGGGGUGCUGAGAGGAAGGUACCCGACAUUGGAGAUGAGACACGGUCCAAACUCCUACGGGGGGGAGCAGUGAGGAGUAUUGGUCAAUGGGCGAGAGUCUGAACCAGCCGAGUAGCGGGCAGGACGACUGCCCUAUGGGUUGUAAACUGCUUUUAUGUAGGGAUAAAAUGCGUGACGCGUCAUGCAUUGCAGGUACCAAAUGAAUAAGGACCGGCUAAUUCCGUG